CCAGUUACAUAUGGAUCACGUGAAUCUAUGUUAUAUGAAGCAUUGCAUGCUGGGGCAGCAGCACCAUCAUAUUUGCAGGAUUGCUCUGUGAUAGUCGUGUUGUUUUGGUACUUGCAGGUUUAUAUGUUUUUUUUGUGUAAAGCAUUAAACUCUUAAUAGAGAAGUAAUAUAUAGAGAUGGGAAAAGACAAAAAGAACGUUGUACGUAUAUUAACUGAAAUCAAACUGUAUUGUUAAAGGUGGUUAUGUGAAAAUUAAUAAAUGUAUUUAUUGAUUUCGGCACAUCUGUUCCUUCACAUUAUUUUACAGUUGAAGAGGCUAGUUCAUCCAAAAGUAGGACUAACAAACACUAACAAAUUCUGUGUGCAAAAAUGGAGAUUGUUAAAGAAGACAGUGAAGACAUGAGCGAUUCAGACCCAUGCAAAUUGAAAAAUGAAGAUACCGAGGAACAAACAGGAUGUGUGGAAUGUGUGUGGGGGAGCAGCCUUGUUUGCAGAGAUAAGAGGAGGUCGCUGAAGAGCAGUUGGAGCCUCAGAGUAUGUGGAUGUAGAUAACAAACUGAAAUGUAGAAACAAAGCAAGAUGGAAUGUGCACGCACACACAUAGCAAUAGCAGACCACUUAGAAAAGACAGAUGUUGGGCAGAAAUUGGGUGUGGGUCUUGUCAUGUGAUGUUUUGCAGGAAUUAGGAGAAACAAAGGAGUGAAAGCUGAUUGGACAAGCACCAGGCGAACACCACGCCCAGCAGAAAGAAGAGACACGUCGACAAAUAGUAUAAAUAUGUUGUAAAACUGUUUUUCUUGGUUGUUGGUGUUGGACUUUAAAAAAUUUCCUGCAUGUCCAAAAAUUGGAGAGAGGCAAUUCCUAAUCAAACUGAGGUUUAUUAAUCAGAUUAACAAAAAUACAGCGCGCUGGGUUGCUGGACAACAAUCCUCUGUCCUUCCAAGGAACAACAACCCCCACAGCACAUAUUCACAGCAUUUAUUGUUAGUUCACGCCGAUCUCUCUUCUGCCGGGGGGCCAGGAUCCCCCUUGCCUUCACCAAUCACCAACUUCUGCCUUAUCUCGUUCCUGUAAAACACUUCUGAAACAACAUUCCAAAUACCUCCCCCAAGCCCCUAAACAACUGCAGCCGAAGAUGCCUUUUCACCCCCACAAACUCACAUUCCUUUGUUGCAAGCACUUCAAUAUCAGCACAUAGCUUGGGUAUCAAAUGUAUGCAUGUAUGCACAUAAUGUGUGUGCCUUAAUGAAAAUGUUUAAGCAGAAGCUGUGAGGGGUUUCUGUACUGAGAUUGAAAGUGCCUGCUACAGGAAUGUGAGUGGGGGUGAUAAAGGAAGUAGCUGAAAGGCAGUUAAAGACUCAGGAUAUACCUGGUGGGGCUGAAAGAUGAAAGUGAUGAACUGAAGGGACUGGAGGAGACACAUCAGUAUCAGAAAGAUCAUAAUUUCAAAAUGGAAGAAAUAUCAUCCGAUUGCUCACAGAUGACAAAUACAGAGCAAAGGACGAAAGCAAGAACAUCGUUUACUUGCCCUCAUUGUGAAGAUGUUUUUGCAUUGAAAAGUGACUUUGAUUUGCAUCUAAGAAUCCAUAAUGGAGAAAAGAUGUUCAUGCCCUCAUUGUGAAGAGGGCUUUGCUUUGAAAACAGACUUUGAGCUGCACAUAAGAGUCCACACUGGAGAAAAGAUUUUCACCUGCCCUCAGUGUGGAGAACAUUUCUUGUACAAAGGACAUCUCGCGCGUCACAUAAGAACUCACAUUAAAGGAGGACGCCUAUACCCGUGUGUUCAGUGUGGAAAGAGCUUUAAGCAGAGUGAUCCGCUUCAUGUCCACAUGAAAAUUCACUCAGGAAAGCGCCCAUUCCCGUGUCCUCAGUGUGGAAAGAGUUUUAUACAAAGUGAUGCACUUAAAAACCACAUGAGAGUUCACACCGGAGAGCGCCCGUUCCCGUGUCCUCAGUGUGGAAAGAGUUUUAGUGAGAAUGGUGCGCUUAAUGAACACAUGAAAAUUCACACCGGAGAGUGCCCGCACACGUGUGUUCAGUGUGGAAAGAGUUUCGUGAGAAUGAGAAAAAGAAAGCAGGCAUGAUGACAAGAAACAUUCAUGAAGAUCGUGUAAAUGCCUUAAGGAAGAACUUUUAGUGGAUGAAAAUGUUUGCUGAAAGAAAAUAAACAUUGUCAAAACUUGUCGGAGGAAGCAAAGACCUUUUUCUUUUCACUGCGAAUUGAUUGGAUGUGUAAAAGCAGCUGAUGCAUUGUUAUUGAAAGUGUAAAUUUGCAGCAGACUGACAGUGGAAGGGGAGGAGUCAACGAAUGCUACGAUGGUACAUGAAUAAAAAAAAAUUAUAAGCUAUUUACUAUAAACGCUGCAAUAUUUCAUGAACAAAAAGAAUUGUCAUAUUUUAUUUCAAUGGGACUUUAACUAUUUUUAGCCAGAGAUAUGAUACCAAAGUCUGUUUAUGGACGCCGUGCCACUUGUCGGCCAUGUUUUUAACGGCUCUGGGCAGUUAAUAGCAAGUCAACAGUGCUUGCAAAGGGGAAGGCAGAUAUUUUAUUAUUCGCUGGCAAAAAUCACAAUUAAACGCCAUCAAUCAAUAACUAAACCUGACAUGAACUGUACCAUAACUUGGGUUUGAUGAGCUUAAAUUGAGCUUACAUUUUCGAGAUGGCUUCAUCUACUGUGCAUGCGCACAGGCUGGCAAGCGCCUCACAAGAGCCCCGCCCCAGAAUAUGGUCAGUCAAUUCUGAUUGACGAUUGGCUCGUUUCACUGGGAGGCGGGACUUCCUUCGCUUGAGUGGCACCAUUGAGCGUUGCAUUCCCCCCGAUUUAUUGUAAUGGCAGUGGCAAAUCUUGUUAAUAUUAAUAUCUUAUACGAUACUGAAGAACAACAUGACCUUAACCAUCUGCUAAUGGAAAUAUUCAACUGCACCAUUACAGUAUUACUAUAUAAAAUGCUGUAAUAUACUAUUUUACACUCAUCUCUGCAUGUCAUUUCGUCAAAGCACAAGAUGUUACUAUGGCCUUAGUUUGCUAUGUCGCAAACAAGACACGCCCCCUCAUACCCAUAUGGACUCAGAAAUGUAGAAAUAAAUAAAUGUCAAAAGACAGAAAUACAUAUAUUUUAACAUAAAUGCAUAAAAGAAAUACAAAUUGUACAAAUGAAUACAUGUUAGAAUAAAUAAAUAACAAUAUGAAAUUGUUCAUUAAUUUUUAUAUUUUUAGAAAAUUAAUUUCUGUAUGUAUUUAUUUAUUUUCGCUUUUUUUACAUAUCUUAAUGGUUAACUUUUAUUUUAUUUUAAGUUUUGGCAGUACUGGAAUUCCAUAUCAUAAACCUAAAACAAAGUUACUUACAAAAUAAGCCUUUCUAUGCCAUUCAUACCAGAACUACUUGUAUCUUUGUUGUUCAAUGUGACCAUGCUUGUAAAAACCCAGCUAAUGUCUAUUUACUGUUUUCUGCACAAAAUCAUCCGUCAGAGUAUCCUGUGAAAAUAUAAUGACAGUAUCUUCCAUAUUGACUGAAUAAUACCAUUUUAAAGAUUGAAAUUAAUCGUUGAUUAUCUAAUAAUUCAUUCAAUUAUAAUACUUUAGUCUGGGUUUUCACAGGGUCACAAAUGUUUUCAUGCUGAUCAAUAAUUCCAAUGCUAAAUGUAGAUAAACAUGUAGAUAUGUUAUGGUUCAUAAAAUAUCACAGAUCUGGUUAAAGGUUGGAGACAUACUAAGUCCAGUUUUUAAGAGUCUACAAGUGGAGCCCCUGGAUCAGUCCUCAGACAAUGUUUGCAAAUAUUGUUAAAGUGAAUGUUCUCUGUCUUUGUCAGAAUGCAUAUUUUACAUUUUCUAAUGGGGAAAUUAUGCAGAUGUUAAGGCUUUUUUAAAUAAAAGGCAAGUUUAACUUU
This is a long non-coding RNA of Triplophysa dalaica, 3890 nucleotides long. RefSeq lists it as uncharacterized. The record is from RefSeq and is a predicted model, not a curated record. NCBI's taxonomy places the organism in Eukaryota, Metazoa, Chordata, Actinopteri, Cypriniformes, Nemacheilidae. The transcript is spliced from 3 exons.